RNAcentral lists this ribosomal RNA (229 nucleotides) under uncultured bacterium. RNAcentral describes it as "partial 16S ribosomal RNA". It matches the Rfam family "Bacterial small subunit ribosomal RNA", at positions 28 to 257 of the family's 1533-position model. The record is from RNAcentral.
GACGAACGCUGGCGGCGUGCUUAACACAUGCAAGUCGAGCGGUAAGGCCCUUUCGGGGUACACGAGCGGCGAACGGGUGAGUAACACGUGAGUAAUCUGCCUUUGGCUUGGGAAGUAACUUCGGGAAAUCGGGGCGUAAUGCCUGAUGUUUACUGUCUGCUGCAUGGUGGGUGGUGGAAAGAUUUUUUGGCCAGGGAUGAGCUCGCGGUCUAUCAGCUUGUUGGUGGGG